CCUACGGGAGGCAGCAGUGGGGAAUAUUGCACAAUGGGGGAAACCCUGAUGCAGCGACGCCGCGUGAGUGAAGAAGUAAUUCGUUAUGUGAAGCUCUAUCAGCAGGGAAGAAAAUGACGGUACCUGAGUAAGAAGCCCCGGCUAACUACGUGCAAGCAGCCGCGGGAAUACGUAGGGGGCAAGCGUUAUCCGGAUUUACUGGGGGUAAAGGGAGCGUAGACGGGAGUGGAGGUCUGGAGUGAAAGGGGGGGGGUCAAACCCCGGACUGCUCUGGAAACUGGACGGCUGGAGUGCAGGAGAGGAAGGCGGAAUGCGUGGGGUAGCGGUGAAAUGCGUAGAUAUUAGGAAGAAC
This 352-nucleotide ribosomal RNA is filed under the name uncultured bacterium. RNAcentral's name for it is "partial 16S ribosomal RNA". It matches the Rfam family "Bacterial small subunit ribosomal RNA", at positions 338 to 707 of the family's 1533-position model. The record is from RNAcentral.